RNAcentral lists this ribosomal RNA (399 nucleotides) under uncultured bacterium. RNAcentral describes it as "bacterial SSU rRNA". It matches the Rfam family "Bacterial small subunit ribosomal RNA", at positions 975 to 1373 of the family's 1533-position model. The record is from RNAcentral.
GUGGGCUUGACAUGUUGGUGACCGCCGUGGAAACACGGUUUUCCUUCGGGACACCAUCACAGGUGGUGCAUGGCUGUCGUCAGCUCGUGUCGUGAGAUGUUGGGUUAAGUCUCGCAACGAGCGCAACCCCUGUCCUAUGUUGCCAGCAUUCAGUUGGGGACUCAUAGGAGACUGCCGGUGACAAACCGGAGGAAGGUGGGGAUGACGUCAAGUCAUCAUGCCCCUUAUGUCCAGGGCUGACACACGUGGUACAUUGGCGCAUACAAAGGGCAGCAAUACCGCGAGGUGGAGCGAAUCCCAUAAAGUGCGUCUCGGUUCGGAUUGGAGGCUGAAAUUCGCCUCCAUGAAGGUGGAGUUGCUAGUAAUCGAGGAUCAGCAAUGCCGCGGUGAAUACGUUCA